CAGAACUGCAGCCCAAGCCCGCCCUGCAGCCCCCACUCAUUAAUUCAGCAAACAUUUGCCGACCGUCUCAGUGCCAGGCGCGAGCUGGCCACUGCGGCUGCGGCGACGAGUCACACGGGGACGCAGCGCCACCACCCCCCAUCUCACAGCCCACAGAGGAGACAGGCACAGAUAACAGAACCCUGGGCAUGACACAACACGGACGCAGAUGCACCAUAAGGCAUGGAUUUGGGAGGGCAGCCAAGGGAACACACUUCAGAGUGACACAAGGAAAGACCAAAGCUAGACCCCAGGAAGAACUUCCAAGGUCCAGGAAUAGGACUGAGUUUGCAAGAGAAAGACCAGGGAAUCCUUGAGAAGAAAAAAGCCCCUCACACAUCUCGGCAUGGAGUCGCCAAGCUGUCCCUCCCAGACCCCUCCUGCCAACAUGAUUCCUUCCUGGCCCCUGUCCAGCAGAUGGAGUCCAGGGCACCCCUCUGAGGAGGCACAGCAUCCAGCCUUAACCACCACCCCCUCUCAAGGGGUACUGAGGAACUGGAGUGAGAGGGCACAGCUGGAGCCAAAGACAGAGAAGGAAAUUCUGUGACCACAGAGGACAACUGAAGGGAAAUUGCAGCAAAAGAGAGCUGGGCAGACAGACUCUGGCAAGUGAAGAGACUAUGUCAGCUUUUCUUGAUCUUCUGACCAGAAAUUCUACAACACUGAUGAAGUGGCUUUGUCAGGAUUUCGAGGAGACAGGGAGGGAUGGCACAGGAAACUGAGUUCAAAUUCCAGCCUUAUACUCAUAAGCAUGCUGACACACAAGGUGGUCAUGAGAACUUGGAGCCAUGAGAGUCCUGAGCAUGGGGCCUGAAACAUGGCAGGAGCUCUAUAACCAGAGGCAGGUUUGUAUUUUUCUCUGCUUCUUUCUUCUAUCAUCUGAGCAAAGGGGCCACACCUCUUCCCUGAGACUGGGGCAUCCUGAGGAUAAGGGCUUUGUUUCUACCAUCAGCCUUUCAUCAACUGUCCUUGGGACCAGAAGGUACCCGGGCAGGCUGCUGUCGGGAAUGAACAUUCACUGCCUUUAUCAGUACUUUCAUUAUCAUCAGUAUAUCACUCUCUGUGGCUGUAGCCCCAGCAGCACACACCCAGCUAGGCUCUCAGCUUUUGUUUAAAGAAGUCAUCCCCCCCCCAUCACAUUGCCACAAAGGCACACCAAAGUUCCCACAUGAGCCCCAUCUCAGGGGGCCACACUGGGUCCAAGAGCUCCCAUUGUAUCCUUUUCACUGAUACCCCCAUCGAGGGGUGCCAGGAGCGGGCCUAGAAAAAGAAAGACACUGAGUCAUUCUGAUUCCUGCUUCAGGGAGCCAGAGCUGGCAGCAGCCCAGCUGGCCCCUCCAAGGGGGAA
Canis lupus familiaris (dog) is the source of this 1387-nucleotide long non-coding RNA. RefSeq lists it as uncharacterized. The transcript is spliced from 5 exons. The record is from RefSeq and is a predicted model, not a curated record. Lineage: Eukaryota; Metazoa; Chordata; Mammalia; Carnivora; Canidae.